This is a microRNA precursor of Equus asinus (donkey), 135 nucleotides long. Lineage: Eukaryota; Metazoa; Chordata; Mammalia; Perissodactyla; Equidae. The record is from Ensembl.
AGCGGCGCCGGCCUAGUCCGCGCGAGAGCGGCUGCUGGGGCCGAGGCCCGGAGGACUGGCCUUGGAGCAUCUUCUGGCCCUUCGCUGGCUCCUCGAGCUCGGGCUCCUCUCUGCAGUGGGCGUUGGAAGUCUGCA